GUGCGGCCCUGCGGGUUGAGGCACCUCGGUGAGAGCGGCGGCUCUGUGAGGAACCGCCCAUUCUCCGUCCGGGGAGGGCAACGGUACGAGGAGCUCCGCGUCCCGCCAGCGGCUGUGGAGCGAGAGCCGCAUUGAGGCAGAGCCUCCUUCAUAGAGACCGUAGCUCCGCUGAAGGGGAGCCCGCAAAAUUCUUGUCUUUUUUCAUUCACGGAAAACAAAAACAAACUUGAAUAAGGAGAGCUGAGGCAGGGUUUAGGAAGCCAUCUCCGCGCAUCCCGUUGGUGACCGCACACCUCACGAGCUCUGAGGAGAUCUGGUCAGCGCCAUCACCGCUAGUGAGUCGGUCCUGACACGUGUCCGUUCCCAGCCUUUCGCAAAUUACAUGACAGAAUAGACCAAAUAAUGACUACUCACAGAGCAGAUGAUGAAUUACCUCCAAGUCAUUAAGUCCUUGCAGGAAAAAUAGAAGUGUUUGAGAAUGAACUCACUACUUCUGUGUUUCACAUGAAGAGGCAGUAGUUGGGGGAGCUGUAGAAUGAACUUGAAAACGUUCUUAAGAGAGCACAGGCAGAAGAAAUCUCAUGUGUAUUUCAGGAUGUAUGCAAAAUGUCCUGCACAAUGAAAUGUGAAAGAAGAAGGGAGAAGCAGGGAAGUCAGAUGAGAACAUGGUGCCACAGCAGCUGUGUCUGCCAGUAUGUAAGAAGCCACUUGUUCAGUGCACUCUGCAAAGCAAAAAUGGAAACAAGCUAUUACUUUGUUUUGUGUUUACAUCCUGACAUUUCUAAACAGAAGAAGAAUGUAGAACACUUGUGGAAGAGAUGCUUUUCUCUUAAAUUUGCAAGAAAUAACAAAUGAGAAGUUUGAUUAUGAUGAAUUUGAUUGGGUAAUCAUACAUUAUACGAGAAACAGUCUGAACAAAUAAACAUCUCCAGAGAGUUGGACAUUGUACCUAGUAAAAUCCUAUAAACAAAAUACUUUCCUGAAGAAAGAAAUGUCACAAACAUUUCAGUACCACUUGGACUACUGGUGGACUAUAUUAGAUAAAUCAUCAAGAGUACAAUGAACAGAGAAGCAACUAGUGAAAAAAAUGACUUCUCUUUCCUGGGCUGUCAUUGCUGAAGUCAUUGCUUUAUUUAAUUAAAAAAAAAAAAAAAAGACUGAUAAUAGAAAGACGCUUCAUCACAGAUAAGGUGUGCCUACAGCUACAGUCCUUGAGCCUACUGCAUCCAGGAUCAGUGCCCAGCAUUGAGGAAGGCAGCCUUCUAUAAGUCAUGGCUCGACGGUUGACCACCAUCAACAAAAGUUGUGAGUGGUUCCCACUGAUCUGUCAUUUCCUUCUUCUCAUAAGGGAAGGCUAUUGAUUUCUUUUCUUUACAAAUUGAACCUUGUACUGAGU
Tympanuchus pallidicinctus (lesser prairie-chicken) is the source of this 1396-nucleotide long non-coding RNA. RefSeq lists it as uncharacterized. The transcript has 4 exons. The record is from RefSeq and is a predicted model, not a curated record. NCBI's taxonomy places the organism in Eukaryota, Metazoa, Chordata, Aves, Galliformes, Phasianidae.